GGACGUGAGGGUGACACGUUCAGCAUCUGUCGCCCCACUGAUCUGGUUGGCUUCCUCUUCCUUUCUCAUCACUCCAUCUGUAUCCCUCACGGAAGAACGGAGACCUAGUCUUCAGUCAAGGACAUAAAAGUAGCCGUAGCUCCUGCUAGAGCCUCCAAACAAGCUUCAAGAGUGAUUUGGUGAAGUUAAACUAGGAGGCAAAGGAGAAGAAAUCAAGGAAACCCGGUUUCCUCUCCC
Molecule: small nuclear RNA, 237 nt
Filed under: Mus pahari (shrew mouse)
Lineage: Eukaryota; Metazoa; Chordata; Mammalia; Rodentia; Muridae
Description: sRNA (MGP_PahariEiJ_G0008275.1)
Rfam family: 7SK RNA
About the family: 7SK was discovered as an abundant small nuclear RNA in the mid-70s but a possible function has only recently been suggested. Two independent studies have found that 7SK RNA binds the CDK9/cyclin T complex (known as elongation factor P-TEFb). P-TEFb activates transcription by phosphorylating the C-terminal domain of RNA polymerase II.
Source: RNAcentral